RNAcentral lists this ribosomal RNA (272 nucleotides) under uncultured bacterium. RNAcentral describes it as "partial 16S ribosomal RNA". It matches the Rfam family "Bacterial small subunit ribosomal RNA", at positions 524 to 794 of the family's 1533-position model. The record is from RNAcentral.
UACGUAGGGUCCCGAGCGUUGUCCGGAAUCAUUGGGCGUAAAGAGCAUGUAGGUGGAUCAAUAAGUCUGCUGUGAAAGUCGAAGGCUCAACCUUCGAAAGCCGGUGGAUACUGUUGAUCUAGAGUACGGAAGAGGCGAGUGGAAUUCCUGGUGUAGCGGUGGAAUGCGCAGAUAUCAGGAGGAACACCAAUAGCGAAGGCAGCUCGCUGGGACGUAACUGACACUGAGAUGCGAAAGCGUGGGGAGCAAACAGGAUUAGAAACCCUAGUAGU